RNAcentral lists this ribosomal RNA (460 nucleotides) under uncultured bacterium. RNAcentral describes it as "partial 16S ribosomal RNA". It matches the Rfam family "Bacterial small subunit ribosomal RNA", at positions 338 to 795 of the family's 1533-position model. The record is from RNAcentral.
CCUACGGGAGGCAGCAGUGAGGAAUAUUGGUCAAUGGACGCAAGUCUGAACCAGCCAUGCCGCGUGCAGGAAGACGGCUCUAUGAGUUGUAAACUGCGUUUGUACGAGGGUAAACGCAGAUACGCGUAUCUGUCUGAAAGUAUCGUACGAAUAAGGAUCGGCUAACUCCGUGCCAGCAGCCGCGGUAAUACGGAGGAUUCAAGCGUUAUCCGGAUUUAUUGGGUUUAAAGGGUGCGUAGGCGGUCGGAUAAGUUAGAGGUGAAAUCCCGGGGCUCAACUUCGGAAUUGCCUCUGAUACUGUUCGGCUAGAGAGUAGUUGCGGUAGGCGGAAUGUAUGGUGUAGCGGUGACAGGCUUAGAGAUCAUACAGAACACCGAUUGCGAAGGCAGCUUACCAAGCUACUUCUGACGUUGAGGCACGAAAGCGUGGGGAGCAAACAGGAUUAGAUACCCCGGUAGUC